RNAcentral lists this ribosomal RNA (774 nucleotides) under Staphylococcus aureus. RNAcentral's name for it is "bacterial SSU rRNA". It matches the Rfam family "Bacterial small subunit ribosomal RNA", at positions 78 to 837 of the family's 1533-position model. Lineage: Bacteria; Bacillati; Bacillota; Bacilli; Caryophanales; Staphylococcaceae. The record is from RNAcentral.
GCUUGCUUCUCUGAUGUUAGCGGCGGACGGGUGAGUAACACGUGGAUAACCUACCUAUAAGACUGGGAUAACUUCGGGAAACCGGAGCUAAUACCGGAUAAUAUUUUGAACCGCAUGGUUCAAAAGUGAAAGACGGUCUUGCUGUCACUUAUAGAUGGAUCCGCGCUGCAUUAGCUAGUUGGUAAGGUAACGGCUUACCAAGGCAACGAUGCAUAGCCGACCUGAGAGGGUGAUCGGCCACACUGGAACUGAGACACGGUCCAGACUCCUACGGGAGGCAGCAGUAGGGAAUCUUCCGCAAUGGGCGAAAGCCUGACGGAGCAACGCCGCGUGAGUGAUGAAGGUCUUCGGAUCGUAAAACUCUGUUAUUAGGGAAGAACAUAUGUGUAAGUAACUGUGCACAUCUUGACGGUACCUAAUCAGAAAGCCACGGCUAACUACGUGCCAGCAGCCGCGGUAAUACGUAGGUGGCAAGCGUUAUCCGGAAUUAUUGGGCGUAAAGCGCGCGUAGGCGGUUUUUUAAGUCUGAUGUGAAAGCCCACGGCUCAACCGUGGAGGGUCAUUGGAAACUGGAAAACUUGAGUGCAGAAGAGGAAAGUGGAAUUCCAUGUGUAGCGGUGAAAUGCGCAGAGAUAUGGAGGAACACCAGUGGCGAAGGCGACUUUCUGGUCUGUAACUGACGCUGAUGUGCGAAAGCGUGGGGAUCAAACAGGAUUAGAUACCCUGGUAGUCCACGCCGUAAACGAUGAGUGCUAAGUGUUAGGGGGUUUCCGC